AUCAUUUAUUUAUAUUUUUUUGGAUCAUUCUUUUUAAACAUUAUGUCGAGCAAAAAACAGCAAAAUACAUUUCAAGGUAAAGAAUGCUUCAGCCGUAUGAAUUUCCUAUUUCAAGCGUCCAUGCUAAUGGCAGGAAGUAAUAAAACUUUGGCAGCUUACUAUGGAGAGCUGUGCAAGAAUAUUGGCAAAAAAGCGGUGCUUAAAAUUGAUCCGGAUGUAAAGCGGCAACUAUGCAAGCGCUGUUCAUUGGCUUUGCAGCCGGGCAUUACCGCUGAUUUGGAAACUGUUUCACAAGGCAAGCGGCGGAAGUGCUCAAAAAAUACACAAAACGUAGAUGAAAAUACAAGUUUGAAGCUGACUUGCCAACAAUGUGGUUUCAAGAGAAAGUAUUUAGUAAAUUCGGAAUAUAAGUUUUGGUUGGAGAAUAAAGAAUCUGUGAUGGAAACCAUAACAGUUGAACAAGAAAAACAGAAAAUAAUUCGAAGUAAAGAGUCCAAAACGUUAGAAACAUGAAAUUCCUUGGAUUUUUCAGUUGCAAUAACUUAGUUAUACAUAUGUACGAAUACCAUUUGAGUACCAUGGAUGACAACAUGAAAGCAUCGGAUGAAGAGAUCUAACCGAGUGCAGUCAAACGUCUGUAAGAAUUAAAUCGAUGAUG
Molecule: unclassified non-coding RNA, 658 nt
Filed under: Ceratitis capitata (Mediterranean fruit fly)
Lineage: Eukaryota; Metazoa; Arthropoda; Insecta; Diptera; Tephritidae
Description: ribonuclease P protein subunit rpr2, transcript variant X3
Source: RNAcentral